GGUGGUUCUCGGGUGAUGCACCCCAGAAUCAGGCUCCCUCCUCUCUGGUUCCAGGUGCGUCACCCGAGAACCACU
Molecule: non-coding RNA, 75 nt
Organism: Myotis lucifugus (little brown bat)
Lineage: Eukaryota; Metazoa; Chordata; Mammalia; Chiroptera; Vespertilionidae
Source: Rfam